GGUUCAGAGAUGAGAUCUUCACGUCUGGUUUCCACAACAAUGAAAUGUAUAAAUCUGAGUGACGGGACUUCACCGGAGAGAAAGAAGUCAAAACCACGGAUGCCUUUAAUGAGAGAUGUGUCCAUAAAUAUGUCCUGAUAUGGUGGCAGCCUGUUCACAGCGUCUCCCUCUUCAAAUAUAGCCAGGAGAACGACUUCCCUGGCUUCUCUCCCUGCGAGCUCCUCAAACAUUAAUGCAGAGGAUGAAUAAUGGAUGCUCUGACUGUCGGUGUUGGGAGAGAAUGACGGUAAAUACAGUUUACCUCAACUUUUG
Notolabrus celidotus (New Zealand spotty) is the source of this 312-nucleotide long non-coding RNA. RefSeq lists it as uncharacterized. The transcript is spliced from 3 exons. Lineage: Eukaryota; Metazoa; Chordata; Actinopteri; Labriformes; Labridae. The record is from RefSeq and is a predicted model, not a curated record.